GUCCUUGUAGUAUAAACUAUUACCAUGGUCUUGUAAACCAUAAAUGGAUCUAACCCUCCCCAGGACA
This 67-nucleotide transfer RNA is filed under the name Orycteropus afer (aardvark). Its description in RNAcentral is "transfer RNA-Thr". The record is from RNAcentral. Lineage: Eukaryota; Metazoa; Chordata; Mammalia; Tubulidentata; Orycteropodidae.